GAGUGAGCUGGUGUAGCAGUCUGAUCAUCAUUCCCAACUCCUAUUACUUGGAGGGUUGGGAUUUUGUGAUUAAGGGGAGAAUCCAGUAUUUCAUCUUUUCAGAUUAAGGCCAAGUUCUUAUCUUAAAUUUAAUGUGGUCUCUAACCAAUAAUUUGAUAUAAUCAAGUACCUGAAUAAUAAAAUUUGCAUCAAUUGUCAAGUCUUACCUUUCUAUCAUCUGAGUUACUUUUCAGUGUUUAGUUGGAGUUGAGAUGGAACUAUUUAGUUCACAUAUACAAUGAAUUGCCUAAACUAAGGAGAAAAAAAGAAGCUAAAUUGUCUUCUUUCCUGCCACUGAGGAAUCACUAAAAAAAAAAGAUUAGUUUAGGUGGCUGGAAUGUAUAAAUUGUCAUAAUCUUUAUUGUUCAAGUGCUUGAUUUAAUGGAAUAAUUGUUCAGGGGUCACAUUGCAAAAUUGUAUAAAUUUCAAGGUAAAAUUUUGGACUUAUGCUUACAGAUUGGGGAUUGCACAAUAUCCCAGUAUUUUCAUAUAAGCUACAGGGAAGAGAUCACCCUGCUUGGGCAUUGUUGUAUGACAGUAACUGCAGAUAGAAACCAAGCUUAGUGCAUUUUGCUGCCACAAAGUUUGAGAGAUGGCCUUUAGGUUGUGUUUUCUUAAUAAAAUAUGGAUGGGAAUUCUUCAUUCUUGUGUUUGGUUUGCCGUGUCUUGAAUUCCUUGUAAGUUCAUGCCUUGCGAAUCAAAAUGAUAAAUAUAAUAUUUAGCAAUAUUUUUUUUU
Molecule: unclassified non-coding RNA, 775 nt
Filed under: Hevea brasiliensis (rubber tree)
Lineage: Eukaryota; Viridiplantae; Streptophyta; Magnoliopsida; Malpighiales; Euphorbiaceae
Source: RNAcentral